This 1004-nucleotide ribosomal RNA is filed under the name metagenome. RNAcentral's name for it is "bacterial LSU rRNA". It matches the Rfam family "Bacterial large subunit ribosomal RNA", at positions 1926 to 2925 of the family's 2925-position model. The record is from RNAcentral.
AACGGCGGCCGUAACUAUAACGGUCCUAAGGUAGCGAAAUUCCUUGUCAGGUAAGUUCUGACCCGCAUGAAAGGCGUAAUGAUUUGGGCACUGUCUCAACAGCCCGCCCGGCGAAAUUGUAGUACCGGUGAAGAUGCCGGUUACCCGCGACAAGACGGAAAGACCCCAUGGAGCUUUACUGUAGCCUAAUAUUGGGUUUCGAUGUUGCAUGCACAGGAUAGAUGGGACACUGGGAAGCAAGUGCUUUGGCAUUUGUGGAGUGGCCGUUGGGAUACCAUCCUUGCGAUAUUGGAAUUCUAACCUGCGCCUUUGAAUCAAGGCGGGGGACAUUGUUAGGUGGGCAGUUUGACUGGGGCGGUCGCCUCCUAAAGAGUAACGGAGGCGUUCAAAGGUUCGCUCAGCUUGAACGGAAAUCAAGCAAAAGAGUGCAAACGCAGAAGCGAGCCUAACUGCGAGACUGACGGGUCGAGCAGUAACGAAAGUUGGAGUUAGUGAUCCGGUGGUAUGUGAGUGGAAAUGCCAUCGCUCAACGGAUAAAAGUUACCCUGGGGAUAACAGGCUGAUCUCCCCCAAGAGUCCACAUCGACGGGGAGGUUUGGCACCUCGAUGUCGGCUCAUCGCAUCCUGGGGCUGUAUUCGGUCCCAAGGGUUUGGCUGUUCGCCAAUUAAAGCGGUACGCGAGCUGGGUUCAGAACGUCGUGAGACAGUUCGGUCCCUAUCUGUCGUGGGCGCAGGAUAUUUGAUGGGAGCUGUUCCUAGUACGAGAGGACCGGAGCGGACGUACCUCUGGCGCACCAGUUGUUCUGCCAAGGGCAUAGCUGGGCAACUAUGUACGGAUCGGAUAAACGCUGAAAGCAUCUAAGCGUGAAGCCGACCCAAAGAUAAGAUAUCCCAUUGUUUCAAACAAGUAAGACCCCUUGAAGACUACAAGGUUGAUAGGCACGAUGUGUAAGUGGAGUGAUCCAUUCAGCAAGCGUGUACUAAUAGGUCGAGGGCUUGACCAC